RNAcentral lists this ribosomal RNA (55 nucleotides) under Caridina sp. FB-19. Its description in RNAcentral is "partial 12S ribosomal RNA". Lineage: Eukaryota; Metazoa; Arthropoda; Malacostraca; Decapoda; Atyidae. The record is from RNAcentral.
AAGGUGGGAUAGUCGUACAAGGNAGGUGUGUCGGAAGGUGUACCUAGGAUUAACA